This is a non-coding RNA of Gasterosteus aculeatus aculeatus (three-spined stickleback), 4411 nucleotides long. The record is from RefSeq and is a predicted model, not a curated record. Lineage: Eukaryota; Metazoa; Chordata; Actinopteri; Perciformes; Gasterosteidae.
ACAUAAACUCAUGUUUAUAAUGUUUACUGAGGGAAUAAAUCAGUCAUUUUCUCAUAGACGUCUAUGGGAGCAGAGUCACGCUCUGGAGGUCAACACAGAGACUCAGAAUCUUCAGCCGGAGGAAACAGAAGCUUUUUGAUAUUCUCAUCUGUGGUGAUGUCAGAGUGAAGUGGGCUCCCUUUUGUAAAGAUAAAAACGUACAUUGUGUUGCACUGACUCUCAAAGACUCUCUGGUGUGUUUCUGACAGUUCAGAACCUGCAGAGAUGAUGGUUGUAAUUUCUCAGUUUAAUGAGUCCUGAUUGCUGGAAAACGUCUGGAGCCUUCAGUCUGACAAGGUUUUUCCUCAGUAAAUCAACCAGAAUGCCAUAAAGGACCAAAAGUAUCAGUGUUUUUCUCCUUGUGUUGUUCUGUGUUGGGAAAUUGUUUUCAACCCAGUUUAAAGUGAUUCAUGUUCAAACACGGAAAUGUCAAAGGGAGAAAACUCUAAAAGUACACCGACGCAGCAGAGACACAGUGCCAUUAGAGGUCAUAUGAAGAUCUCUAGAGGUCAUCGACACACUAAAUCAUGAUAUUAAAAAUGUUGGUGACAUUACAAAUCACACAGUGGGUGAGAUUUGUGAUGAUUACUGUGACGUGUUUGGGAUCCAACAGAAUCAAUAAAUGAUAUCAACACUAUAGUGUAGCAUGUUUUUAUAGUUCACCUGGUCUGAUGUAGUGUGAUUGGGUAUGACGUGGUCAGGUCUCUUAAGUUUCGGUACGACUUGGUCUGGUAUGGCCAGGUCUCCUCUGGUCUGUUUUGGUUUGGUUUAGUAGGACCUGGUCUGGUCUGGUUCAGGACUCCAGCCCCUUAGAGGUCUGUUUAACCACAAACGCUGUAUCUCACUUCCUUCAACCGCCCACCUGACUCCCGCUGCAGGACACAAUGGAUUUACCAACCAUGAAGCUAUCAAGAUCUUUUGUUUUCAAAAUAUUUCUGUGGGCCCUUUUUUCCCUAAUUGCCUGUCAAAAUCGACUUGGCUGCCGUCGGUAUGUAGAAAGGAGAGCCGCGCACGCCGUUCAUUAAUUCAUACCGCCUCUAUUCAGACUGGAUUUGGAUUUCACAACCCUGCAGAUAAAACACGCCAACAUGUUCACAUGAGCGCCGAAUGAUUUAAAUGAAAAAAAGGAAGAAAUCACACUCGACUCGACGGUUGAUCUUAUGGUUCCACUCCGAAGCAGCUCCCUGUUCAUCCUGCAGCCGGUUUCUGGGUCAUUCCUUUCGCCUCCCACAGGUGACUCACGACAUCCAGUGUCACAAUAAUUGCGACAACGAUGUCAACCCGCUUAUUUAUGAAAAUAGCAGGGAGGUUUGUGGUCACCUCUCCUCCUCAAGACAAACCUCUCUGGACCUGCACUUAACACAGAAGACGGCACCAUUUGGAUCUUUCUUUGUCCAUUGAAUAAAACCGUGAGAUGCCAGAGAUCUGAUCUGAAACAAAGCAAUACUGAAGGAUGGAUUCAUCGUCAGUAAUAUAUGUAAAUAACGAGCUGAAGUCCUUAAAAUGUCCCAAAAUGUUGCCCUAAAUAUGUGUAUUAAAGAAGCAGUCAGUCACGGGUACGUUUCUGUAUUAAAUGUCUUAUCUUGCUUGAUGAUACGUGUGCGUUUAUUGUCCCGUAUUUUCUGAGUUGUCUUCAAUGCAGCAUCCCAUGCAAAUGAUCCUCCCCGAAUUCUGUGAAGACUCGUCCUGUAGAUGCGAAGGUACCGAUGAGACUGGGAGGCAUCCAUCUAGAUACUUUACGCCACCUCGCCUCCCGUAUCGACCCCCCCAGCAGCACACUGCUCCUGCUGUGUGGGCUCAGGGUUAAGUUGUCUCAGGACCUGUACCUGUGCAAUGGCCAAACGCUGAAUCAUCUUCUUCUAAAGGAUGUUAGGUAGCAAAAGCUACCAGGUAGCUAAGCAGUUAAAGCUAUAACUAAAGUAGCUAAAAGGUACCAAACGCAUCGGCCAGCUAAAGACUUGAAGCUAAAUUAUAUUAGAUUGCCAAUCUUCAAAUAGGGCUUCAAGAAGCUAAAGCUCCGGUACAGACCACGCUAAAUGAGCUAAUAGACAUGAUAGUAGCUGAAGACAUCAGGGAGAUUUAGCUAAGGUAGGUUGUCAUGUAGCUCAAGAGGCAAAAAGACACAAGAGCUAAAAAGCUAAAUUAAUAUAAGGAAGAUAAAGCUAUGGUGGCUAAAUUAUUGAUGCUAGUUUGGCUAUAGUCCAAAAGAUUACAAGGUUAUUUAUUGUCAUUACUUUGCAACAAACGCAGUUUAGUAAGAUACGCAAAAGGCUAAAGGACAUUGAGCAUCUAGCUUCAGAAAGCUACAUUUCGUAUGGUAGCCAAAGCUAAAGAGGCAAAUGUCAAGCUAAACCACGUUUAAGAAAAUUAAUGCAAUUUUCCAGCUUUCUGCUCCAGCUCACUGGAGCAGAUCAGUGUCUCUCUGCCCGGAGAGGCUCUCUUCAUCCUGCCCACUGGGACCAGUGCCAGCGCUGGAGGACAUGCUGGUUUCAGCAGCUGGAAGAAGUCCCGUCAUGUAUGUCAACCAGCGGAAAAACAGGGCGACUGGAUGACGGGGUGACUGACUGACUGGAUGACGGGGUGACUGACUGGAUGAAGGGGUCACUGACUGGAUGAAGGGGUGACUGACUGGAUGACAGGGUGACUGACUGGAUGACGGGGUGACUGACUGGAUGACGGGGUGAAUAUGGCCUCUCCUUUGUUUGUUGAGAAGCAGCAUGGACUAAAUAACUGACGGAGCAGCGUUGAACCAGCAACCACAGUGUUUUGUUUUUGUAAAUGGAGUCUGGUGUGUUAGAAGAUAACUCGGACAUCAGCAGGAAGAUCUCUGCCUGACAGGAACGUAGAUAGAACCCUGAGACCACUGCAGUAAUCAGACAGACCUCAGGCCGUACCAGAGAGCAGUCACACUACCUGAAGGAUUCUCAGGUUACCAGCAGGGAGGAGGCAGCGACGUGCCUCAACAGAGAUAUCAAUUGUUCAGCACUUCGGCAAACGUGUCAUGUUGAGUACACACACACACACACGCACACACACACACACACACACACACACACACACACACACACACACACACACACACACACACACCUGCAGCCCGGGUUUCAGAGCCGUGCAGAUCUGUGAUUGGAAAUGAGGUGGCUAAUUAGCCAAACCUGCUCUACCGCUCCCUCGCUGCUCAGAUCUACUCCCCCCCUCUGUGCGGUGGACUGGAUUACUUUGAGUGUCGGAGGAGAAACCAGGCGUCACGUCGGGGAUUCAUUCCAGAACAAACGCCCACCUCUAAGCCGCCGAGGGAGGAAAAGAAGACGAAGAAAAGGUGUGGCCUUUAUUAUUUGUGUUACCUAAACACACAGGCAGGUUUUGCUCCUUUGGCAUCCAUAGUUUAGUGUUGUUAUGUAAUGAUAGACAGUGUGGUUCUUCAGUAAACAUCUCGCCUAUCUUUUAUUUUUUAAUAUCACUGGGAACUUUAUGGUCUUAUAGACAAGUUUAAUUCCUCAUUUCUAUGUAUUUAUACAUUGAAAUCUCUCUGUAACUUUGAGUCUAACAGGAACAAACAGUAUAUGCAGAAAGUGUAUUUUGUAUUGAUGUAUAAUUACUCUCAGUGGGUCACACGGAUCGUACUUCCUGUCCUUUGAGCUCACAGUGUGACCUCUGGGCAAUGAACAGAGGUCACAUCCAUCCGCUUCAGAUAAUAACAGCUAAGUUGAAGACUUAUUUAAUUUAUUUCAGGUUGGAUGAGGUUCUGCAGUCUCUUGUCUUAGAGACGCUCUCUGGGUCCAUCACAGGCUCCUGAUGAUCCUGAUUUCCACUGAAGAUGUCUGGAGGACAUUUGGGGGAUUUCCAGUACAACUCAGGAUGAGCCGUGGGAUUUCAUUUGACCUUCUGAUAAUGAUUAGAACACGUUAAGAUGAAGUGGAUCGUGACCUCCUGGCACAUGAGGAGCUCAUCUUUAAUCUCAGCCGAUGGAGAGGCGACAGCAAGUCUCCACGCCGUAAACCGAUCCGCAUCGCAGGGAGAGGGAGAGGAUUCCUGAUAUGGAUCUACCUCAGAAACCAGCCAAACAAAGCCUCACCUGUUUGCAGCGCCCUGCCUUGUUCCUCCUCCACCACCUCCUCCACCUGCUCCUCCACCUCCUCCUCCACUAGACUUCUAAAUCCACUUUGUCAGUUGGGUGCCUUCUCUCUUCUGGUUGUUUUGAUACACAGAAAUACUGGUUAGGUAGCUGUCGCUCCUUCCCUUCCAAAUACCUCCACCCUCCCUCCUCCUCCUCCUCCGGAACUGAAAUCUCCCCUCUUACCCUCCCCCCUUUCUCCAUUUUGGGUGUCCCAAAUCAGGCCCCCCGGGGCAGAUCCCAGACAUAAAGUUAGCA